CGAAUCAAGGGAAGCGUGCCGGUGCAGGCAAGAGACCACCGUAAGCGUCGUUGCAACCAAUUAAGCGCCGAUUCCAAUCAGCGCGACUACGCCCUCGCUGCCUAAGUAGCGACUGCGUGUCUGUCAGACCGGGAGCGCCCUCGGCCCGGACCCUGGCAUCAGCUAGAGGGACCCACCCACGGGUUCGGUCGCGGGACCUGUGGGGACACCAAACAGCGACUGGGAUUGUCAUCUCGGCUCGUCUGCGUGACCGAGAGAUCCGAGUAGAGGCAUAGCGGACUGCGCACGGAGAAGUCUUGAGGGAAUGCC
Molecule: unclassified non-coding RNA, 309 nt
Filed under: Mycobacterium hackensackense
Lineage: Bacteria; Bacillati; Actinomycetota; Actinomycetes; Mycobacteriales; Mycobacteriaceae
Description: partial tmRNA
Source: RNAcentral